UAGUUAAAUAUUAAAGGUAAUUUCUGCCCUAUGAUUAAUUAAAUGGCUGCAGUAUUCUGACUGUGCAAAGGUAGCAUAAUAAUUAGUCUUUUAAUUGAAGGCUGGUAUGAAUGAAUAUAUGAAGAAUAAAUUUUAUUUUAAACAAUAUUAUAAAUUGAUUUUUAAGUAAAAAAGCUUAAUUUUUUUUUUGGGACGAUAAGACCCUAUAGAACUUUAUUAUUAUUAAUUUUUAAUUAAUUCUUAGAUUUAUUAAAUUUUUAAUUUUUAUAAUAAUUUUAUUGGGGUGAUAAAUAAAUUUUACUUUAUUUUUAAAAUUCAUUUAUUUAUGUAAUUUUUGAUCCAAUUAUUGAUUAAAAGAUUAAGUUACCUUAGGGAUAACAGCGUAAUUUUAAUGGGGAGUUCAUAUUUAUAUUAAAGUUUGCGACCUCGAUGUUGAAUUAAGAUAAGAUUGAGGGGUAG
RNAcentral lists this ribosomal RNA (459 nucleotides) under Molomea virescens. RNAcentral describes it as "partial large subunit ribosomal RNA". Lineage: Eukaryota; Metazoa; Arthropoda; Insecta; Hemiptera; Cicadellidae. The record is from RNAcentral.